Molecule: ribosomal RNA, 254 nt
Filed under: uncultured bacterium
Lineage: Bacteria
Description: partial 16S ribosomal RNA
Rfam family: Bacterial small subunit ribosomal RNA
Source: RNAcentral
UACGUAGGGGGCGAGCGUUAUCCAGAUUUACUGGGCGUAAAGCGCGUGUAGGCGGCUGGUUAGGUGUGAUGUGAAAUCCUCGGGCUCAACCCGAGAACUGCAUUGCAAACCGGCCUGGCUAGAGUGCAGGAGAGGGAAGCGGAAUUCCAGGUGUAGCGGUGAAAUGCUUAGAUAUCAGGAGGAACACCAGUGGCGAAGGCGGUGUGCUGGGCCAGUACUGACGCUGAGGCGCGAAAGCGUGGGGAGCGAACAGG